AGUGUUUAAAGCAGGCUUCAAAUGCCUGAAUAUUUUGUGCAUGGAAUAAUGAAAUAAGACCUCUGUUCUACUUUCAUUGGUUUUUAGAUCAAGAGGUAAUGAUUAAUAGAAGCAGUUUGGGGGCAUUAGUAUUACGACGCGAGAGGUGAAAUUCUUGGACCGUCGUAAGACUAACUUAAGCGAAAGCAUUUGCCAAAGAUGUUUUCAUUAAUCAAGAACGAAAGUUAGAGGUUCGAAGGCGAUCAGAUACCGCCCUAGUUCUAACCAUAAACGAUGCA
This 278-nucleotide ribosomal RNA is filed under the name Sarcophaga peregrina. Its description in RNAcentral is "partial 18S ribosomal RNA". It matches the Rfam family "Eukaryotic small subunit ribosomal RNA", at positions 770 to 1043 of the family's 1831-position model. Lineage: Eukaryota; Metazoa; Arthropoda; Insecta; Diptera; Sarcophagidae. The record is from RNAcentral.